ACAGGUGACACGGUCAGGUGACCACAGAUGACCACAGGUGACACGGUCAGGUGACCACAGGUGACCACAGGUGACAUGGUCAGGUGACCACAGGUGACAAUGAGGGGACAGGUGACCACAGGUGAUGAUCAGGUGACACUCAGGUGACACAGGUGACACAGGUGACCACAGGUGACACAGGUGACACAGGUGACACACUCAGGUGACAUCAGUGACACAGGAGGUGACACAGGUGACACAGAUGACAUCAGUGACACUCAGGUGACACAGGAGGUGACACAGGUGACACAGAUGACAUCAGUGACACUCAGGUGACACAGGUGACACUCAGGUGACACAGGAGGUGACACAGCUGACACAGGAGGUGACACAGGUGACACUCAGGUGACAUCGGUGACACUCUCAGGUGUCCCCUGGGUACCUGUGGGUGGUGCCGGGGCCGGGCGGGGUCACGC
This 455-nucleotide long non-coding RNA is filed under the name Parus major (Great Tit). Its description in RNAcentral is "lncRNA (ENSPMJG00000002547.1)". Lineage: Eukaryota; Metazoa; Chordata; Aves; Passeriformes; Paridae. The record is from RNAcentral.